Molecule: long non-coding RNA, 578 nt
Filed under: Hordeum vulgare
Lineage: Eukaryota; Viridiplantae; Streptophyta; Magnoliopsida; Poales; Poaceae
Description: long non-coding RNA (HVUL_LNC007914)
Source: RNAcentral
UUUCGAGGCGAAAAUCAUCACACACGUGUAAAUUAAAAUCCAGAGGUAAAACAUUAGGGCAUCUCCAAUGGUUGUAAGAUAGUUGUUGGUAAUUUUGACACAUGGGAUUUUUGAUGAUGUGUCAUUGCAAUAAAUGAGGAAAGAGAACAAGGUUGUAUGUAAAUUAACCAACACCCUUGCACAAGCUCCAAUGUAGAAUGAGAGAGCACCUUAUUUAUUACCUCACAUCUUAUUGGGCAAACUAGAUACAACCCAUUGGAGUAGUUGUAUGUUAAGGUGUUGGCUGAUAACAUGGCAUAUUUUACCAACAAGCUAACCAACAAACUGUUGGAGAUGCCCUUACACCGAUUCCAAGUAGGCAAGAAAGAAGUUUGACAUCCGUCACCAAGCCAACUGCUGUCCUUCUCCAGCAUGCAUGCUCCUCGACAGAGACACUCGCGAUGCUUUCACCAUUCUUUAAUUUUUCACUGCUCAUGCAUGUUGGUUCCCAACUCCCAAGUGUGGUGUGCAAUGGUGCCGUCGGUCCGCGGGGCACGAGUUGCCGUGGCCACGCAUUGAAGUUGAAAGCACGCCGUGAG